CUUCCUCCCAAGGAGGCAGAGGGAUGGGGAGGUUGCAGCUUUCCAACGCCUCUUCUGAAGUGGCCUUCCAGUCUGAUGCAUUCUUGUGGUCCAGCUCUCCAGUGGCAAUAUCAUUAUGCUUGGAAGACAGACUUUCUGUUCAGAAAGGGCCUAAGGUCAUUAAAAAACUGGGACUAGUGGAGUAAGGCACAGGUUUACUGACCUAACGGCUUCUAUAGACAACGUGUGAUUUGCAAGUGUGGAUGCUAGUUUUGUGAUCUUAACUACUGCUCAUCCUCUGGAGUUAAAGUUGAGCUCUGAACUUUCUCAAUGGCCAAUAUACGCAAAGCCUUGGAGGCCGUCAGGGAAAUACUCUAAAUGACGCAUCUCUGGCUCACUGAGCUAAAAAUUUUAAGACACAUAGAAUUUUAUUGUUACAUUGACUUGCAGUCCAUUUAAAUUUUAUAUAUGUUAAGCAGUUAACUUCAUACAUGGAUAUGUGAUUGCCUCAUAUUAAGACUUGUACAAUAGCAAGAAAAAAUACCUAUUGAUUUAAAAAUCAUGGAAAACGUGUCCACCUACUUCCCUAAAAUGUUCCUUUGAAAGAUGGAAGGGUACAUUGUACUUCCACUGUGGCAGAAAGGAUGUUAGGUACCAAGUAUAAGUGGAGGUACGAUAUGAAAAGAGGGUGCAGAGCAACAUUUUUUCAUGGCGGCCAGUAGGUAGGAGGCACCCAAGUAUCUAUCAUAAGGCUAGAUGGAUUGACAAGAUGGAAUAUGUCUUUCCAGUAGAAUAUUCAGCCUUAAAAGAAAUGAAUUUCUGACAUUAGCUGCAAACACAAGUGCAUUUUGCUAAGUGAAAUAAGCCAGUUUGAAAGAGAUAAAUCAUCUAGAGUAGUCAAAAUCAUGAAGCCAAACAGGAGCCAGACGGGAGUCAACAGUUGAUAUUUAAUGGGCUCAGAGUUUCGGUAUUGCAGGAUGAAAAGCAUGACAUGCAUGUUGGAGAUGUUUCCACCACUAUGUGAAUGCCACUGAAUGGGAG
Molecule: long non-coding RNA, 1020 nt
Organism: Perognathus longimembris pacificus (Pacific pocket mouse)
Lineage: Eukaryota; Metazoa; Chordata; Mammalia; Rodentia; Heteromyidae
Exons: 3
Source: RefSeq, a predicted model, not a curated record